Molecule: transfer RNA, 95 nt
Filed under: Pseudocercospora eumusae
Lineage: Eukaryota; Fungi; Ascomycota; Dothideomycetes; Mycosphaerellales; Mycosphaerellaceae
Description: Mycosphaerella eumusae tRNA
Rfam family: tRNA
About the family: Transfer RNA (tRNA) molecules are approximately 80 nucleotides in length. Their secondary structure includes four short double-helical elements and three loops (D, anti-codon, and T loops).
Source: Rfam by way of RNAcentral
GCCCCUAUAGCUCAGCGGUAGAGCGCUGCACUUGUAAUGCAUAACGCAGAGACAAGUUCAUGCAGAGGUCCUUCGUUCAAUCCGGGGUGGGGGCA